This is a non-coding RNA of Macaca mulatta (Rhesus monkey), 7720 nucleotides long. The record is from RefSeq and is a predicted model, not a curated record. Lineage: Eukaryota; Metazoa; Chordata; Mammalia; Primates; Cercopithecidae.
UGCACUCCAGCCUGGGCGACAACAGCAAGACUUCAUCUCAAAAGAAAGAAAGAAAGAGGGUCCAUAGUAUUCCUGGAGUGUACUGUACCACAGGGCGUCUGUGCGUGUGCUCACGUGCGUGUGCACGCAAGUGUGUAGAUAUUCAGGAUAAAAAUGAGACUGAAAGCCGAAGAGCCUGGAUGUGCCACACGGCUGCCGCAUCAGAAGAGGGAGCUGUGGGGAGGGAGACAGCAGAGGCUGCCCUUUUGUUCAAGAGCCUAAAGAUGCUUCCUGAAUGCCAGCUCGGCUCCUGGAGUCCCUGAGGCAGAGCGCACUUGCUCCCCUGGGUCAUGCACAAAUGCACUCACGUGUGUACACAGACACAGACAUGCACAGGUAGGCAGAUAGACACACGUGCACACACACACACACACACACACACACACACACACACACAAGCCUGCCUUGUUCACUGGCGCAGCCCUCCCCAGGCUCUCACAUGGCCUCCUGCACACUCCUGCCUGCAGGCACACAGGCAGGCACUCCCGCGUGUUCCGAAUGUGUGCCCAUGUAUGCUUCCUUGUCAGCCUGAUGCUGCUGGCCCUUGGAGGCGCCCCUCAGUGCCGCCUUGCUCCUGGACCCCUCUUUAGCUGGCUGCCUGGGACUAAUCCCUUCCCUUGCCCCUCCCCCCUGCUCCUGGCCCUCUGUACCUUCCAGAGUGUGAGUGAGAGGAGCCUGCUGGGGGAGGGAGGGAGGUCCCCUGGCCCACAACUGGGCCUACAAGCAUUCAGUGCCCGUUGCUGGCCCUACCAGUUGAGUCCUCACGGGGAGGCCCACCUCUGGACCAGUCACCUCCCAGGGCAAACAGGACGCGACUGUCUGACUUGGCCACAGGCUGACAGGCCCCUUGAGGCUGUCCUGUCUCAGGAUCUGUUUGUGUAGAGAGCCUCAGAGCUGCAGGGCCCAGCCUCCCAUGUUACCUGCAUUGGGGAGCAAACGAUUUUCACAUGUACAUGAAAUGCAGAGACCUGUGUGUGUGUGUGUGUGUGUGUGUGUGUGUGUGUGUGUAUGCAUGUAUGUGUGUUGGCUGCUCACCCCUCACCCAGCCCCUUAGGGGGUUGCUGAAGGAGAAAGGACCAGAGCCUUCCAGAAUCCCUCGGAACAGCCUGCAUGCCCGCGUGUGUGCUCCCGGGAGGGGUGUGAAGAGAAGAGGCAACCGCAGCUGGAGCCACUAUAGAUGUGGUGGGGCAGGGGAGCCUGGCAUUAGAAAUUGCUCAAGUGCUUGGCAUAUACACUUGGGUGGAGGUGCAUGGUGUGCAAGGCCACCCCCAUGAGAUGCUAGGUGGGCAGCUGGGUUCCUGGGUCUGGAGCUUGGCUAGAAGUCUGGCUGGUAGGGAGCAGGCAGGCCUCGGGGAGGGCGCCCCAGGCUGAGCAGCUGGCUUACUUCCUGGCAGUCCCAGCUUCCCGGGCCUCUUGCCCGCCCCUUGAGGCCCCCGGCUGCCGCCCUCUCUGCCCCAGCCCCGGCCACAUUGGCCCUUUGCACGGUGUUGACACACAUUCCAUCGCCUCUGCUUACCGCCUUGCUUUCCAUGUGGGCAGAUGCCUGCGGCGAUGGCUGUCUGGGCCUGUCCUCUCUCCGGGACCCUACUUCCUGCAUGGCGAUCUUGAGAAUACCUCCCACCCAUACUGACUUUGACCCGACCCGGUGGAGGUCUAGGGGGCUGAUUCUUGGAGUUUGGGGCACCCCUGUGAGUCCCCAGGCUGAGAGGGCCAACCUCCAGCCCUGGCUGGUGUAGACAAGCGUCCAGGUUUUGAAUCCGGGUUUGCUGCCUGGGAGGCCCUGUCCCUACUUAAGGCAGAUGGAGAUGCCUCUCUCAGGAGGCCCCAGGCCUUGGGGCCACAGUAAGGGGAGUGGAGAGGAGAGAGGGCCGUGUGAGGACCGCCGGCGGGGCCGGUGUGCCCUGUCAUCCUCUGGAGGUUGGGCGUGUGUUUGCAAUUCUUUACAGUAAAAAACUGAAAACAUGCUGGAAGGGAGAUUGAUCUCCUGACAGGAUCACGGACUUGUCAAGGUCGUCUUCACUUGCUCUAGGCGUCGCGCUCUUCGGCUGACCGCAGUGCCGCCUCCACCACCAAUGUGUCCACACACGCAGUGCCAACAAUGGUGCACACGGCAGCCCCUGCUCCCCUAUUUCUAGGCUUGUGUGGGACCCACAGCCCAGUGCACAUGACUCUUCCUCCUGCAGUGGAAGUGGGGUGCACUCCCAGGGGCCCCCGGCCUAAGGGGCUCACUCCCCAGCCUCCAUGCAGGUUGGCCGCUCACGCUCUCUGGAAAUGAGCCAAGGACAACAGGAGCUGCCUUCCCAAGGUCGCCCCAGCCCCCAUCAGGUUACUGGACGAUGCAGGUGCAAAGGUCUCCCCACCCCCCCGCCUCCACGGCCCAGGAAGACUCUGGACUCAGCCCAUUCCCUAGUGUCGGAGUGGCCUGGGCUGCCGCAGCAAAUGACCACAAACCGUGUGGCUUCAGCCAACAGGAAUUGACUCUCCCAGUUUUGGAGGCCGGAAUCCAGAAUUGGGCGCUUCCUCCGGUGGCUCUGGGGGAGGAUCCUCCCACCUCUUCCAGCUUCUGGGGGCCCCGGGCACUCCCCACCUUUGCCUCCACAUGGUCUUCUCUGUGUCUCCUGUCUCUUCUAAGGAAACUAUCCUUGGAUUUGGGGCCCUCUGGAUCCUCUAGGUUGCUCUCAUCUCCACAUCCUCAAUUUAAUGACAUCUGCAGACACCCUUUUUUUGCAUAUAAGGCCCUGAUCACAGGGCCCGGGUGUUAAGAUGUGGAUGUAUCUUUCGGUGGGGGCACCAACCAGUCACCCCACAACGUGUCAACAGCCCAGGCCCCAGCCACAGCGCCCUGGUGAAGGGACAAGCUUGGGCACCAGGCCACACAGCCGAAGGCCACUGGGCACCUCCCUGCCUCUGCUCAGGAAAAGGGGCUCCGAAGCUGUCCCUGCACUAGGCCCCCUGGGGGCCCUGCUCCCUGCAGCCGGAGGUUCCCUGAGCAGUGUCUCCACCCUUCCCCUAAGCCCCGGAUGGACAGCUUUCGUCCUGGGAGCACAGGCCUGCUGAGGGAUCCUUGCUGCGGGCUAAGUGCUCCUGGCCAGGGCCCAGGGUCUCUGAAGAAAAGAAAUCCCUGAGCUCUGGUUUCUCAGGGGCUGAAGGGGCUCCUAACUCAUGCUCAGCUCCCAGCAGCCAGGGCUGGGUGGGCAAGGCUGGGACAUGGGAGUGCUGAGCCCUCAGUAUAUGAAGGGGACACUGGCAUCUGGUAAAUGCAGAUUCCUAAGGUCUCUGUCCUCCAGAUCAGGACGCUUCAACUCAUUGAACCUCCUUUUUCAACUAGAUGCACAUGUGGGAAAGGCCUCUGCCCCCAGGAUCCCGCAGCCAGCUGGGUCAGCUGAGCCAGCCCAAGGCAGAGGAGGGCCGCCCCCACUCUCCUUCUACCUCCUUCAGACCAUGUAGCUCCACAGUUAGCCCUGGGGCGAGGUGCCGCCUUGGCCCCUGCCCUGCCGUGAAGGUGGCCCACAGCCCCCUUUGGCCUGGUCUUCUCCCACUGGCUCAGUCCUCUGGGGGACUCUCUUGCCUCCCAUGGACACCUUGGCUUCACCCUGGACCUCCCUGCUGGGCCUCUGGGGACCUGCUGCUGACCUGUCCCCAGGAGGGAGCUGCCUCUGGCCUGGCAGGUGCCCCCAGCACAGCGGGCAGGACCACAGCUGUGGGACAGCGCCUGCUCCCCUGUGCCCCGGAUACCUCGCCUGCCCCUCGUGGACCAGCCUGGGACAAGAGGAGAAUGGGAGACCGGAGCUGGGGAGCAGCCAGGCCAGCCAGACUGGGAGGGGGUGGCGAGGACCCAGGGAGGAGAGGGGAUCUCCCCACUCCCAGACCCCCACUCUUCCUCCCCAGCCCCUCCUCACCCACCUUCACACUCCAGCUCUUUCUCCUCCCUUGGCUCUGCCAGGGGCUGUCUCACUCCCUGGACUUUUGACCUGCCGGGCAGUGGCCGCUUUGCAAGUGGCUUCUGGGCCAUUGCCCGGAGGGUUGGCGUGAGAAGAUCGACCAUGAGGAAGAGAUAUGGCUCCAGGGCAGUGAGUGGAAGGCUCUUUCCCCCAGGAAAUACUGGACCUGUUCAUAUAUUCAUUCAUUCAUUCAACACAUAUUGAAGCACCUGUGCUGGUGAUAGAAGAGUGGACUCGACCAAAUGGCUGUUUGACAACCUAGCUGGGGAGCCGGAAGGUUACCUGAAUGAAGGUCAGCUUAUUCCAAGCCAGGGUGCACCUGGGCCCAGGCAUCCUCUGAGCCCCUCAGCAUGAGCAUGGCUGUGGCAGGUUCCUGACUCACCAACCUCUUGUCCUGUGGCACCUGGGGGGUCCUGGGUGGCAGUGCCUGUGCAGCCAUGAGACCUCCCUGGGGCCCAGAAACCGUGGCUACUGGGCUUCAUGGUGAGCCCGGGCUCCCUAGGCCUGUGAGGCGUUGGGGUUCUGGCCAGCCUGCAGCCUUCAGUGGGGUGGGUCUGCACAACGGAACCUCUGGCCUAUGGUCUGCAGGCUCCACGUCUCCAUCAUGGCCUUCCCUUCCCUCCUUCCUUGCAGUUAACCUACAUUUGGUGUCUCCUGGCUUUGCCCUUUGUUUCUCCUGCUCACGGUGCCAGCCUCUGAGAACAGGCUUCUGGGCCAUCCCAGUCCCUCCUGCCCCUCCCCCUUACUUGAAGCCAGAGGUCAUGGAGCUGAAGCACCAGGCCCUGGAGGAGGGUCAUGGGAGACAGAGGGAACUGUCUAAAGGGGGUGAGGGAGAAGGGAGUGACACCUGGUUGGGGCGGGUGACUGUCAAGUGAGACCAGGCUUUCCAGAAGUCUGGCUAGGAGGCGCGGUCCUGUGAGCAAGAGGGUGUAGCUGGAGGGGGCUCCAGUCUGCCUGUCCCUCCCCAACCUUGGCUGUGUCCCCAGCUUUCCUCUCAGUGGCCCAGCCCGGCCUGGUGUUCGCAGUCGGUGAGUUCCUCCUGAGCCAGUUGUGACAGGGACCUGUUCUUCAGGACAGGGGGUGUUCCAUGUGGCUUGGUUCUGUGGGGUCCAGUCUGCCCAGCCAGUGGCCCUGGGGCUUGACUUGUUGGCGGCCCUUGAUCCAUGGCACCCACCACUCAUGUGCUUCAAGGGGCUUUUUCUCACCGAACAAGUGUCCCAUGGUUGCCAUAAGAAAUGACCAUGGGCCCUGGGGCUUCAAACAGCAGCAAUCGAUUCCCUCACGCUCUGGAAGCCAGAAGUGUGAGAUCUAGGCGUGCGCAGGGCCGAGUCUCCGGGGGGAUCCUUCCUGCUUCUUCCAGCUCCUGGGGGCUCCAGGCUUCCUUGGCUCAUGGCUGCAUCACCCCAAUUUCCACCUCCAUCUCCACAUGGCCUUCUCCUCUCUGUCUCUCCUGUGUCUCAGAAGGAUGCCUGUCAUGAGAUUUGGCACCCCCUGCCCCCCAUCAUGUAGACUGAGCUUAUCUCGAGAGCCUGACUGUCAUCACAUCUGCAGAUACCCUCUUUCCUAACAGGGUCCCACUCACAGGCUCCAGAACGUGGACACACCUUUUGAGGACCAGCACACCCCGACAGGCACCCCAUUUCUGAGGACAGCAGCACGUGGAUGCUGACAGGGCAGCUGCUCUCUGCUGAAGUGUGACAGGGCUAAGCCCUGCAGUGGGGGCCCCUCCCUCCUCCUGGCCCAGCCGCCAAAGCCACACGCUCUGUCACCCUUGCCUGCUCUGGCUCUGGAGAGCUGAGGGCCCUUCUGGGGGCCCGGAUGUGUCUGUGGCUGAGCUCGGGUACAGGUUGAUGCCUAGGGUGCCCCUGUUUGUGAAUGAGAGGAGUGGGCGUUGGAGAGGCCAAGUCCUUGACCUAACCUAGCCAGAGGGGAGAGGCCAGUGUCUUUGCAGAGGGGCUGACCUCAGGAGACAGCAAACACAGGGGCAAGGACAGGCCAUCUGGAAGGCUGGCAGGAAGCAGAGUGGUGGGGGCGGCGGGUCCAGUGGUGUCGGGGAGUGCUGGGGCCCGAAGGAUGUGGGGGCAGGAGUGUGCCAAGACAAGGGUCCGCCCACGUCUUGGGGGCCUCCUCGAAGGCUUCCAUGAGUCCCAUCCCCCAAACCUUUGCUGUUCUACCCCUUCCUAUCCCCAUGCUUGGAAAUUAUGCGGCCACAUAAAUGCCGCUCAUGGUGGGGCCAUGCAAGCUGCAUUUUGUUUUCCCAGGAGUUAAUCAUUGUCCUUUGGGUUUGCUGUUUGCAUGUAUCACGAACUCAACCCUAGACCCCAUCCAUGUGUGGAAAUGUUCUCUCAAGAUGUCCAAACACAGCCGGCGUUCGAGUGAUUUCAUCUUGCAGAAACCCUUUCACAGCAGAGCCUCUAACCUCCCCAGGCUGUCUGCCUUGCCCCUGCCCCUGGGCAAAGCUGGCAUCCUGGGUCUCCCUCUGCCCUUCCCCCCUCCUAUGUUGCAGCCCUCAGUUUAUGGUCACUUUUCCUUUAAAAAUAAUGUACUGCUUGUAUAAAGUUAAAAACACACAUUAAGAAAGAGCUAGACGGGAUCUCAGUAGCCUUGACUGUUCCACGUGACCUUGAGUAGUCAUCUCCCCUUGCGGGAUCUUGCUCGCAUUAUCUCUGGAAGGACAGAGUUGGACUGCAGUUAUUCACGAAUGCUUCACUUAUUCAACAGACACUUGUUUAGUGGUGACUCUUAAGAAAAUGGUUUAUCAUGGAAAAGUUCAAACAUAAACAAAGAGAGAGUUCAUGAAACCCUGUGGAUCCAUCAACUGGCAUCAAUAGUUUGCCCAUAUUUUUCAUUUAUACUUUUCUUUUUUUCUGCUGGAAUAUUUUUUAACUUGUUCUUUUUAAACCGUUAGAUUCACGAGGACUUCGGUGAGAAGUGCCUGGGAAGCUGUGGCCCCUCCCCACAGGUCCCUCUGACAUUGGCUACUUGAACACCCGAGGCACGACCGGAACCCGGACGUGAUGUCCAUGCUCAGGUGUCUCCUGUGUGCGUGCACUCGUUGUCUACUAGACCAUUUUAAAAGGUGAGAGUUCUGCUGAAUUCCAUAUGGAGAGGCACCGUAAUUCUUUCGUGGCUAACAAACCUCAAAAGUCUUCAUUAGGCCCUGGUGACCCCUCCAGGUAACGGACGAGGGGAGAAAUUGGGUCCCAGGACUGGCUCUGACCCCUGCCAUCUCCGGUCACAACAGCUGGUACUCACUGGUAGGGCUGUGCCUGUGGCUAAAAUGUCAAAGUACCUCUGCACCCGUUGGUAAACUGCAGCUGACCCUGAACCAGUCUCUCCUUUGGGACCCCCCCUCGGCCCCUGCUCCUCCUGAUCCGGAACUAGUGGCUCAUUCUGGGCACAGCAGUGGCCCUUGGAGAACCUGCAUCAGCCCCUCAGCAGCCUCUAUACCUGGGCUAUCCUGGUGUUAAGUGCUGGAAAAUUCACACUGCGCCCUUGGGGUCCCAGCACCCACACUUUGGGAGGAGAGAAGACUUCAGGUGACGUCCACCCACCGGCUCUGUGUGCAGCCCUGUCCACCCACAGCCAGUUUGCCUCAUGGCUAGGUCACCUCCAAGCCUGAAUUUGGAAUUCAAAUGAAGGAGUUUAUUUUUACCUUUUAUUCAACAGCGGCUGUAGCUUAAUCAGUUCUCUAAUGAUCAAUUGUUCUGAUUCUAAGAAAUCAAACACUUUGAAACCAA